AAGCAUAAAUUAACGAAGCUAGCAUCAGCAUAAAAAAAAACCCAUUUUCCUGCAGAUAUUUUCAAACAAAAACAAUUAGAAAUUGUCUCUUGCAAUUCUAUAGCGGGAAUAUAUAGGUGAUGUAAGCAUUUUGGUCAUUAGUGUUUGGAGUUUACUUUUCUUUAGACAUCAUUAGCAUAAACUAGCUUCCCCCGCGUUGGAUCUUCUUGUCUUUUUUUCAGCCACGCGUAAGGAAACGGUGGGAGUUUGCUAGUUGUGAUAAUGUUUUAUCAUUUUCCACUGAGAAUAGGUGCUCCACUCUGCCUUACCUGUUCUCCAGAUGCAGUAAUGAAGAUGUUUCCUCUGAGUUUCCCUGCAUCUGUGGUUUUGAGAGUCUUUUAGGGCAGAGGAACACAAUGACGUAGUGUUGUGCUUUCUUCCUUCUCCCCAUCCUGGGCCAGUUCCCAAAGAGACCUCCCGCCCCCACCCCAACAACACCACCAGCACCACUCCAACCUGGAGCUAUGCCAGACUGUGAAUGAAUGAGAAGGUCCUCACAGCCUACUAUGUUUGUUUGAUGUAGAGCACUGAGGUUUCUCUGUUUAUGUGAAAGA
Long non-coding RNA from Oreochromis niloticus (Nile tilapia), 593 nucleotides. RefSeq lists it as uncharacterized. The record is from RefSeq and is a predicted model, not a curated record. The transcript has 4 exons. Lineage: Eukaryota; Metazoa; Chordata; Actinopteri; Cichliformes; Cichlidae.